GUAGCCCGCGGGAUGACCCGGUCCCCGCGCGUCCUGGGUGCGGCUCGGGCGCUCCCUGGCGGCUGCACGGGGCAUUGCAGCAGUCCCCGAAGAGCCUGGCGAUGGGAAAGGUCCGUCCCUGCAGCGCCCGCGUGGUGACACCAGCAGCAGCGUGAUAACCGCACCGCGAGCGUGUACCUGUCAACACGAGGGGUGAAGAAACCGAGGCUCAGGGACCCCUGAGAGCAGAGGGAAGGGACGUCAUUCUGCAGAGUGACCAGCAGGGGGCGAGCGGGACUGCUCUGUGGCUCCGAGGACCCAGCGGCAGGUGCACUGCUCUGAGAGUGAACGCUGCCUUACAUUUUGCACGGUAAAGCACCAUGACUCAGAGAAGGCAAGUGACUUGCCUAAAAUCACAGGGCCCACAGAGUCACAGCCAGAAUGCAAGCCUGGGCCCUCAGAUCUGGAGUAUGCCCUCUUCACCAUGGCUCCAGGCACCAAAACUCCAGGUAGCUUUGGAUUUUGUGCUAUCUGUGUUUUAUUUUCCUUAAUAUAUAUUUUAAACGGAC
RNAcentral lists this long non-coding RNA (548 nucleotides) under Homo sapiens (human). Its description in RNAcentral is "HSALNT0268422". The record is from RNAcentral. Lineage: Eukaryota; Metazoa; Chordata; Mammalia; Primates; Hominidae.